AUGGGUUUGCCUUGGUAUCGUGUUCAUACUGUCGUAUUGAAUGAUCCGGGUCGAUUGCUUGCGGUGCAUAUAAUGCACACAGCUCUAGUUUCUGGUUGGGCUGGCUCAAUGGCUUUAUACGAAUUAGCAGUUUUUGAUCCCUCUGAUCCUGUUCUGGAUCCAAUGUGGAGACAAGGUAUGUUCGUAAUUCCCUUCAUGACUCGUUUAGGAAUAACGGAUUCGUGGGGUGGUUGGAGUAUUUCAGGAGGAACUGUAACAAAUCCGGGUAUUUGGAGUUAUGAAGGUGUGGCAGGUACGCAUAUUGUGUUUUCUGGCUUGUGUUUCUUGUCAGCGAUCUGGCAUUGGGUAUAUUGGGACCUAGAAAUAUUCUCUGAUGAGCGGACGGGAAAACCCUCUUUGGAUUUGCCCAAGAUCUUUGGAAUUCAUUUAUUUCUUGCAGGGGUGGCUUGCUUUGGCUUUGGGGCAUUUCAUGUAACGGGUUUGUAUGGUCCUAGGAUAUGGGUAUCCGAUCCUUAUGGACUAACUGGAAAAAUACAAGCUGUAAAUCCAGCGUGGGGUGCAGAAGGUUUUGAUCCUUUUGUUUCGGGGGGAAUAGCUUCUCAUCAUAUUGUUGCGGGUACAUUGGGUAUAUUAGCGGGCUAA
Molecule: ribosomal RNA, 642 nt
Filed under: Triticum aestivum (bread wheat)
Lineage: Eukaryota; Viridiplantae; Streptophyta; Magnoliopsida; Poales; Poaceae
Description: partial small subunit ribosomal RNA
Source: RNAcentral